AGUAGUUUGAUCAGUGGCUCGAGGACGAACGCUGGCGGCGUGCUUAACACAUGCAAGUCGAACGGAAAGGCCCUGCUUUUGUGGGGUGCUCGAGUGGCGAACGGGUGAGUAACACGUGAGUAACCUGCCCUUGACUUUGGGAUAACUUCAGGAAACUGGGGCUAAUACCGGAUAGGAGCUCCUGCUGCAUGGUGGGGGUUGGAAAGUUUCGGCGGUUGGGGAUGGACUCGCGGCUUAUCAGCUUGUUGGUGGGGUAGUGGCUUACCAAGGCUUUGACGGGUAGCCGGCCUGAGAGGGUGACCGGCCACAUUGGGACUGAGAUACGGCCCAGACUCCUACGGGAGGCAGCAGUGGGGAAUAUUGCACAAUGGGCGGAAGCCUGAUGCAGCAACGCCGCGUGCGGGAUGACGGCCUUCGGGUUGUAAACCGCUUUCGCCUGUGACGAAGCGUGAGUGACGGUAAUGGGUAAAGAAGCACCGGCUAACUACGUG
This 491-nucleotide ribosomal RNA is filed under the name uncultured bacterium. RNAcentral's name for it is "bacterial SSU rRNA". It matches the Rfam family "Bacterial small subunit ribosomal RNA", at positions 9 to 507 of the family's 1533-position model. The record is from RNAcentral.